GACGAACGCUGGCGGCGUGCUUAACACAUGCAAGUCGAACGGAAAGGCCCUGCUUUUGUGGGGUGCUCGAGUGGCGAACGGGUGAGUAACACGUGAGUAACCUGCCCUUGACUUUGGGAUAACUUCAGGAAACUGGGGCUAAUACCGGAUAGGAGCUCCUGCUGCAUGGUGGGGGUUGGAAAGUUUCGGCGGUUGGGGAUGGACUCGCGGCUUAUCAGCUUGUUGGUGGGGUAGUGGCUUACCAAGGCUUUGACGGGUAGCCGGCCGGAGAGGGUGACCGGCCACAUUGGGACUGAGAUACGGCCCAGACUCCUACGGGAGGCAGCAGUGGGGAAUAUUGCACAAUGGGCCGAAGCCUGAUGCAGCAACGCCGCGUGCGGGAUGACGGCCUUCGGGUUGUAAACCGCUUUCGCCUGUGACGAAGCGUGAGUGACGGUAAUGGGUAAAGAAGCACCGGCUAACUACGUG
Molecule: ribosomal RNA, 468 nt
Filed under: uncultured bacterium
Lineage: Bacteria
Description: partial 16S ribosomal RNA
Rfam family: Bacterial small subunit ribosomal RNA
Source: RNAcentral